Molecule: ribosomal RNA, 357 nt
Filed under: Triticum aestivum (bread wheat)
Lineage: Eukaryota; Viridiplantae; Streptophyta; Magnoliopsida; Poales; Poaceae
Description: partial small subunit ribosomal RNA
Source: RNAcentral
AUGGCCACGGACAUAACAAUUGGGGAUGGUUCCAAGGCGAGUUUUUGGCAUGACCGGUGGCUUGCCGGACAAUGUCCCAAGACCAUCGCUCCGUCUUUGUUCAAGAUUGCAUCCCGCAAGAACCGAACCGUUGAGGCGGCGCUGGCCGGCGACAGUUGGCUUCUCGACCUCGCGCACGGGCUGUCCGACGACUUGCUCCCGGAGUUGAACCGGCUCGCAACCAUGCUUGACGACGUGGUACUGCGUGUCGGCCAUCCAGACACAAUUACAUGGCGUUUCACUCCCGAGAAGGAGUACACGGCCCGUUCGGCCUACCUUCUGCAGUUUGAGGGCUCUAUUCCCAUGGACAACUACAAC